GCCCUUAGAGUUUGAUCAUGGCUCAGAACGAACGCUAGCGGUGUGCCUCAUACAUGCAAGUCGGACGGGAAAAGGACUUCGGUUUUAGAGUACCGUGGCAAACGGGUGAGUAACACGUAGGUAUCUGCCCUUAAGUUGGGGAUAACAGGCUGAAAAGGCUGCUAAGACCCAAUAAUAGUGGUUAAAUAUUAUCACUUAAAAUAAUUUAUUAGCUUGAGGAUGAGCCUGCGCCCCAUUAGCUAGUUGGUAGGGUAACAGCCUACCAAGGCCAUGAUGGGUAGCCGGCCUGAGAGGGUGUACGGCCACACUGGGACUGAGACACGGCCCAGACUCCUACGGGAGGCAGCAGUAGGGAAUAUUGCCCAAUGGGCGAAAGCCUGAGGCAGCGACACCGCGUGGGUGAUGAAGGUAUUAUGUAUCGUAAAGCCUUGUCGUGAGGGAAGAUAAUGACGGUACCUCACUAAUAGCCCCGGCUAACUCCGUGCCAGCAGCCGCGGUAAUACGGAGGGGGCGAGCGUUGUUCGGAAUUACUGGGCGUAAAGCGCACGUAGGCGGUAUGAUAAGUUGAGUGUUAAAUAUUCUGGCU
Molecule: ribosomal RNA, 586 nt
Filed under: uncultured bacterium
Lineage: Bacteria
Description: bacterial SSU rRNA
Rfam family: Bacterial small subunit ribosomal RNA
Source: RNAcentral